AUUGAACGCUGGCGGCAGGCCUAACACAUGCAAGUCGAGCGGAUGACGGGAGCUUGCUCCUUGAUUCAGCGGCGGACGGGUGAGUAAUGCCUAGGAAUCUGCCUGGUAGUGGGGGACAACGUUUCGAAAGGAACGCUAAUACCGCAUACGUCCUACGGGAGAAAGCAGGGGACCUUCGGGCCUUGCGCUAUCAGAUGAGCCUAGGUCGGAUUAGCUAGUUGGUGGGGUAAUGGCUCACCAAGGCGACGAUCCGUAACUGGUCUGAGAGGAUGAUCAGUCACACUGGAACUGAGACACGGUCCAGACUCCGACGGGAGGCAGCAGUGGGGAAUAUUGGACAAUGGGCGAAAGCCUGAUCCAGCCAUGCCGCGUGUGUGAAGAAGGUCUUCGGAUUGUAAAGCACUUUAAGUUGGGAGGAAGGGCAGUAAGUUAAUACCUUGCUGUUUUGACGUUACCGACAGAAUAAGCACCAGCUAACUCUGUGCCAGCCGCCGCUGUAA
This 500-nucleotide ribosomal RNA is filed under the name uncultured bacterium. RNAcentral describes it as "partial 16S ribosomal RNA". It matches the Rfam family "Bacterial small subunit ribosomal RNA", at positions 30 to 523 of the family's 1533-position model. The record is from RNAcentral.